This is a long non-coding RNA of Paramacrobiotus metropolitanus, 335 nucleotides long. RefSeq lists it as uncharacterized. The transcript is spliced from 3 exons. The record is from RefSeq and is a predicted model, not a curated record. NCBI's taxonomy places the organism in Eukaryota, Metazoa, Tardigrada, Eutardigrada, Parachela, Macrobiotidae.
CGUUUGUGGUAAGCAGUUUUAAAUUUUCUAAGAGAACACUUUUUCUGAAUGGAAAUGAAUAAUAUUUGUGUACAGAUAGCCAGUGGACUGCCAGAUAGGGUCGGACCUAAACAUGUUACUAGAGUUGCCGAAUUUUCUUUAGCCCUACUCAAAAUUCAAUCGCAGUUGACCUUUAUCGCGGACUUACGGUUUAAAUUGGAUUUCAUUCCGGUCCUUGUGCUGCGGGAUUGAUGGGACUAAAAAGGCCACGUUACUGUUUGUUCGGAGACACGGUUAACAUGGCUUCCAGAAUGUGCAGCCACGGACUGCCAAACCACAUUCAUCUAAGUUCCGAU